Molecule: ribosomal RNA, 503 nt
Filed under: uncultured Glomus
Lineage: Eukaryota; Fungi; Glomeromycota; Glomeromycetes; Glomerales; Glomeraceae
Description: SSU rRNA
Rfam family: Eukaryotic small subunit ribosomal RNA
Source: RNAcentral
AGCAGCCGCGGUAAUUCCAGCUCCAAUAGCGUAUAUUAAAGUUGUUGCAGUUAAAAAGCUCGUAGUUGAAUUUCGGGAUCAAUUUAUUGGUCGUGCUAUUGUACGUACUGGUAUUAUUGAUUCCUACCUUCUGACGAACCAUGAUGUCAUUAAUUUGGUGUCUUGGGGAAUCAGGACUGUUACUUUGAAAAAAUUAGAGUGUUUAAAGCAGGCUCACGCUUGAAUACAUUAGCAUGGAAUAACGAAAUAGGACGUUUGAUUCUAUUUUGUUGGUUUCUAGGAUCGACGUAAUGAUUAAUAGGGAUAGUUGGGGGCAUUAGUAUUCAAUUGUCAGAGGUGAAAUUCUUGGAUUUAUUGAAGACUAACUACUGCGAAAGCAUUUGCCAAGGAUGUUUUCAUUAAUCAAGAACGAAAGUUAGGGGAUCGAAGACGAUCAGAUACCGUCGUAGUCUUAACCAUAAACUAUGCCGACUAGGGAUCGGAUGAUGUUAAUUUUUAAUGAC